RNA transcript from Cercocebus atys (sooty mangabey), 369 nucleotides. It is a transcript of the gene named probable D-tyrosyl-tRNA(Tyr) deacylase 2 pseudogene, with no coding region annotated. The record is from RefSeq and is a predicted model, not a curated record. Lineage: Eukaryota; Metazoa; Chordata; Mammalia; Primates; Cercopithecidae. The transcript has a single exon.
UUGUUUUUCACUUUAAAAUGUUUUGCCUUUCUUCCUCACCCAGUUAAUACACUGUUAAAUGUGAAAUUAAGUGAGACAGAAAAUGGCAAGCAUGUCUCUAUAUUGGAUCUACCUGGCAACAUUCUUAUUAUCCCUCAAGCUACCCUUGGAGGAAGACUAAAAGGAAGAAACAUGCAAUAUCACUCUAACUCUGGAAAAGAAGAAGGGUUGGAACUUUACUCUCAAUUUGUGACGCUAUGUGAAAAAGAAGUAGCUGCUAAUAGCAAGUGUGCUGAAGCUGGGGUUGUAGUGGAACAUGGCACUUACGGGAACAGGCAGGUGUUAAAGCUGGACACCAACGGACCAUUCACACACUUAAUUGAGUUUUGA